Molecule: long non-coding RNA, 2384 nt
Filed under: Fragaria vesca (wild strawberry)
Lineage: Eukaryota; Viridiplantae; Streptophyta; Magnoliopsida; Rosales; Rosaceae
Description: long non-coding RNA (FVES_LNC000489)
Source: RNAcentral
CAAAAUUGAUGCAUCACAUGCAUUAACACAUUGUAGAAUUUUGAACCAAAUUUACAAAUUUGUGAUCUGUUUUACAAAAUUGAGAACGAAUGUGUUGCCGAGAUGGUACAUUUUCAAAUUUAAACCAAAUAGAUCAUUUGUCUUCAUCCACGCAAUAAGGUUCUCAAUUUUUCAGCAACCCAAAUAGCAAUUUAGAGUUGUAAAACCUCAAAUAUGAACUCUUGAAAAGUAUACAAGCUUAUUCGGAAUGAAUGUAUGAUCCCUCUAAUCUAAGAGAAAAAUUUGGAGGUGAGCACUUGCCACAAUGAAUGUGNNNNNNNNNNNNNNNNNNNNUACCAUAUAGUAUAGUAUGUCUCACAAAAUGUGUGGCUAUCAUUGAUUGAAGAAACAACUAGAUGAUCAUUUACCCCUUCAAAAGUCCUCAUAUGUCAUAUAAUUAGACACAUUUGCAAUAAGUAUGAUAUACCAUAUGGUAUGAUAGACAAACCCGAUGGGUUUAGCAAGGUUUGAUUUCGAGCAACUCUUGAGAUUUUGAAAGAGACCCCUGCUCCACAAACUCAGUCAUCCCUGCUCUACAACUCUUGAAAAGAAAUGGGUUUAAGAUUGGUGAGCGGUUUUUUCUUUUUAAUUAUUUUCUUCCAAAUUGAGUCGAGGUAUGAAAUUCCAAUAGGGAGUUUGAAGCCUUUUUUUUUUAAUGGUUUGCUCACAUUUUGGGAUAUCUGGGUGCGUCUCGCUCACCUCCAUUUGCAGCGAGAGAACAUUAUUGAUAACCAUCCGACAGAAUCACCCUCCACACCACCAAAUAUGAGUCGAGGUAUGAAAUCCCAGGAGGGAGUCUGAAGCAUUCUUCUUCUUCUUCUUCUUUUUUAUUGGUUUGCUCACAUUUUGGGGUAUCUGCUUUUAAGAUUUGUUUUAACAUUUUUGACUUUGUAUUAGGUGCGUCUCCCUCACUUCCAUUUGCAAUGAGGAGCGAUCAGCAAGAGAACAUUAUCGAUGGUGGUGAGCAUUUGGAAGCCCGAAUGGAGAUUGAUGGUUAGCGAGGUAUGAAAUCCCAGGAGGGAGUCUAAAGCCUUCUUCUUCUUCUUCUUUUUUUAAUGGUUUGCUCACAGUUUGGGAUAUCUGGGUGCGUCUCGCUCUCCUCCAUUUGCAGCGAGGAGCGAUCAGCAGGAGAACAUUAUUGAUAACCAUCCGGCAAAAUCACCCUCCACACCAUAUGUUUUCCAAUCCAUUUGAAAGGCAAUCUCCUCCUAUGAGUCGUAUCACAUCUUUCAAUGAAUUGCCCAAUAUCUUAGCUCCCACUGGCACCUUCACUUCUCUGUUGUUUGGGGUUAUGAAAAAAAAUGCGAAUGAGCGAGAUGUGAAUGAGAAUCAAAAUAAGCGUCCGCUAGAGCAAUUCAAGAGUGUGAUUGAGAUUGAGCAUGAGCAAAUCUAGGGAGGGGAUCCGAAUCAAAAUGAGCAGGUUAUAGGUGCUUGGAAUCUUAGAGAAAAGCUAAAGAUGGUGCACAAGGUUGAAGAAAAGCUUAGGGAGGCUGGUGCAACAACUGAAGAUCUCAAGAAGAUAACCAGGUCUGGACAAGUUAGAGGUAUGCAUUUUUCUUGCUUAGCACCUGACAUUGGACAACUAUGCAUAAUUCUGUAUGUUUUUUUUUCUUUGCCUUACUUAUAAUUUCCAAAACCAGCUGCUUGUCAUGCACAAGAAAUAGAUGCGAAGGGCCCGGGCAAGGGCAAGCAUAAGAGCAAGAAAAAGAACAAGGACAAGCUGAAGAACAACGACAAAAGUUGUUUAUAUUCCUGGAUUGGUAUGUUUUGUUCCUUAAUUUACUUAUUCUUCCUUUCUUUCUUUUAUUUGAAUAGUUGUUUAUUCUUUCUUUCAAAGCUGGUUUUGGAGUAGAGAAAUUUUAUUUACACAUGUUUUAGAGUAGAGAAAUUUUAUUUACACAUGUUUCUUUUCAAAUAAUCAUUACUCACCCCUACCAGUUGGUAGCAUAUUGUUAUAAAUUCCCUUAAUACCGUUCUAAGAAUUAAACAAAUAAAAAUAAGAAAUGGGAAGAGACCCAAUGAACCAGAUCGAGGCUGCAAUAUGAAAUUAGAUCAGGGAAAGGUGCAAAAUUAAUACUGAAGUUUGGUUCUUAAUAUAUAUUUCCUGCUGAAACUAUUAGAACCCAUCUUUAGUAAUGGAUUUUCAUGAUGAUGUCUGUCCUGCUAAGUCUAAUGAGAAAGAAUUCAUAUUAUUUUGUUGAAUGUUAAGAUAGUUUUCUUCCAUCAAGUUUAGUUGAACUACAAAUAGUUUGAAGUUGAUUUACUAGUUGACUAAUGAUUGAGAGUUGUCGAGAACUUUAAAGACUAACGUCUAAGCAGUUCCACUUCAAAGUUGUAAUAUGAGU